RNAcentral lists this ribosomal RNA (491 nucleotides) under Preussia sp. EAL2.7. RNAcentral's name for it is "eukaryotic LSU rRNA". The stretch from base 174 to 327 matches the Rfam family "5.8S ribosomal RNA". The record is from RNAcentral. Lineage: Eukaryota; Fungi; Ascomycota; Dothideomycetes; Pleosporales; Sporormiaceae.
UUCCGUAGGUGAACCUGCGGAAGGAUCAUUAGCGUGGGGCUCCGGCCCUGUCGUGAUAGAACCCUUGCCUUUUGAGUACCGUCCGUUUCCUCGGCAGGUUCGCCUGCCAAUGGGGACCCCCAAUAAACCCUUUUUAUGUACCUGUAUCAGUCUGACAAACAAACAAAAGUUAAAACUUUCAACAACGGAUCUCUUGGUUCUGGCAUCGAUGAAGAACGCAGCGAAAUGCGAUAAGUAGUGUGAAUUGCAGAAUUCAGUGAAUCAUCGAAUCUUUGAACGCACACUGCGCCCUUUGGUAUUCUUUAGGGCAUGCCUGUUCGAGCGUCAUUUGUAACCUCAAGCUCAGCUUGGUGUUGGGUGUCUGUCCCCGCCCCGCGCGGGGACUCGCCUCAAAAACAUUGGCGGCCGGUACGUUGGCUUCGAGCGCAGCAGAAACGCGAACUCGAGGCCCGACGGAUCGGCGACCAGAAGUCGCUUUCCACAGCUGACCU